This 460-nucleotide ribosomal RNA is filed under the name uncultured beta proteobacterium. RNAcentral's name for it is "bacterial SSU rRNA". It matches the Rfam family "Bacterial small subunit ribosomal RNA", at positions 191 to 642 of the family's 1533-position model. The record is from RNAcentral. Lineage: Bacteria; Pseudomonadati; Pseudomonadota; Betaproteobacteria.
AGGAAGCAGGGGAUCGCAAGACCUUGCGCUCUUGGAGCGGCCGAUGUCUGAUUAGCUAGUUGGUGAGGUAAAGGCUUACCAAGGCGACGAUCAGUAGCUGGUCUGAGAGGACGACCAGCCACACUGGGACUGAGACACGGCCCAGACUCCUACGGGAGGCAGCAGUGGGGAAUUUUGGACAAUGGGGGAAACCCUGAUCCAGCCAUGCCGCGUGAGUGAAGAAGGCCUUCGGGUUGUAAAGCUCUUUCAGCCGGAACGAAACGGUCACAGCUAAUACCUGUGACUACUGACGGUACCGGAAGAAGAAGCACCGGCUAACUACGUGCCAGCAGCCGCGGUAAUACGUAGGGUGCAAGCGUUAAUCGGAAUUACUGGGCGUAAAGCGUGCGCAGGCGGUUUUGUAAGUCAGAUGUGAAAUCCCCGGGCUUAACCUGGGAACUGCGUUUGAAACUACAAGGCU